Molecule: long non-coding RNA, 318 nt
Filed under: Aquila chrysaetos chrysaetos
Lineage: Eukaryota; Metazoa; Chordata; Aves; Accipitriformes; Accipitridae
Description: lncRNA (ENSACCG00020004410.1)
Source: RNAcentral
CGGAACAUGGCGGCGGCGUGAGGCGGGCGACGGCAGGAGCGGCUUGACAGGCGCGGGAGCCGCUGCCGGGGACCCGCUUCCCGCCCGCCCGGAAACUGUUGUGCUGAAAGGAAGAAUUAACUGGUCUUUCAACUUCAGCCUUUUUAUUGUGAGAGGGGAGAUCACAGAAGUGUCACCAUGGGGAGAACAGCAGCUAAAGAUUCAAAGAAUAUUAAAAAAGAGAAAGAUGGAAAGAAUCAGCAGGCAAACAACCCGUCUUUAAAAAGUGGAGUCAACCUGAAGUGGCAGCUUCAUUAUUAGACUCAAAGAAGAAUUUUU